UGCAGACAGAGACACGAUCAGACUCACAAGCCCGGAAGAAGCCCGCCAAACCCCCGGCCAGGAUGCUCCGCCCUACAAGACAGCGAGUACGUAGGAGACGCACUAUUUUCAGCACUGUUUCAGGGGGUGACUGAAGACAGAACGAGAAAUGCACACAGGGAUGGAUGGCCAGAGCAUGUACAAAAGAGGGCCUGGGAGAGAAGGCGGCCGUUUCUCUGGUUCCUGCUCACACGUCAUCAGAGACCUGGCAUGGAUGCACAGCUUGUCAUUUCUUCUAGAUUAUUCAUAUUAAUUACAUCUUUGGAAAACAAAAACGCCUGGAGCCUGUUUUCUUAACCUUCAGCAGAACGAAUGCUACUGAUUUGUAAUUAACAACAUGUUUUCAAACUUCAUAGAAAACGAAUUCAGGAAGCUUUCAUUUCAGUUGUGUCUCUGUGCCUUACACGAAGCAGCAACUGAGAACAGGGUCUUUUAACAUUACUCAAUACCCCAGAAUAAUCUUCAGAGAUGGAUUUCAUCAUAAGUGUGGUUGCAUUAAAAACACGGAUAAAUGUGUCUGAUUUCCUUUUCAGCUAUUGAGUG
This 582-nucleotide long non-coding RNA is filed under the name Mustela putorius furo (domestic ferret). Its description in RNAcentral is "lncRNA (ENSMPUG00000025007.1)". Lineage: Eukaryota; Metazoa; Chordata; Mammalia; Carnivora; Mustelidae. The record is from RNAcentral.